Uloborus diversus is the source of this 797-nucleotide long non-coding RNA. RefSeq lists it as uncharacterized. The record is from RefSeq and is a predicted model, not a curated record. NCBI's taxonomy places the organism in Eukaryota, Metazoa, Arthropoda, Arachnida, Araneae, Uloboridae. The transcript has 4 exons.
GGCGCCUAUAUUUCCACUUCCACGUGUGGGCUGCUCUUACUUUUUUCCGAUUAAAAUGUGUACAUUAUUAUGUUGACGUGUAGUUUUUCUGUGGUGAGCUGAAUGUUUAAGCUGCAAAAAGAAAGCCUUCAUGUUUUAAAAGAACAUAAGAGAAGUUAUCAGCUGUUUAUCUUAAACAUCUACGUCACUUCUUCGUACGACCCGGGCUUUGGACGCAGAAGUUAGAGCAGAGGAAAGAAAUUGAUAGAUUCUUCCAGUUGAUGUUGUUGCUGGAGGGUAUAUAACAGGAAGCAGAUGUGGAAUGGGCAAGGGGCCAAUAUUUUUUCGCUUUGGCCAGUAAAAUGAUGUGGAUAAUUCUUAUGCAUAAAAACUGGUUGCUAGAAACAAGUCUUAAGUGAUGUAUUUUGAGCAAUUGUUGUGCGACACGUCGCGUCGUUUGUCCUUGAUCGAGACAACAAAAGCCUACUAGUUGCUGUCAAGACCUGCAACAGAAUUACAUAAGGACAAACAACGACUUGUUGAAAGCUUUCCAAUCAGAUUUAAAUUAAUUAGAAUGUAUUAAUUUCUCAGUGGUUUCUGGUUCAAUACUCAUUGAAAUGAAACAAAUUUCUACAAUGUUAUAUUCUCUGCUUCAGUUGUGCAUUAAUUACAAGAAAAUAUUUUACAUAAUAAUAACUAAGGAUGUACUAAAUACCAUACUUUGCGGAAUGCUGAAUAUGAUAAAAAUUACGCAUUUUUAUUACAUAUUUGUAUUUCUGUUUUAUGCCACUUCAAAAUAAAAAGUCGUAUAUUUUUCA